Molecule: ribosomal RNA, 465 nt
Filed under: uncultured bacterium
Lineage: Bacteria
Description: partial 16S ribosomal RNA
Rfam family: Bacterial small subunit ribosomal RNA
Source: RNAcentral
CCUACGGGUGGCAGCAGUGGGGAAUUUUGCGCAAUGCUCGCAAGAGUGACGCAGCGACGUCGCGUGAAUGACGAAGGCCUUCGGGUCGUAAAGUUCUUUUUAUAGGGAAGUAAAUUCAUAUAAGUAACUGUGUAUGUAUUUACGUUAUCUGUAUAAGCAGCCCCGGCUAACUCCGUGCCAGCAGCCGCGGUAAUACGGAGGGGGCGAGCGUUGUUCGGAGUGACUGGGCGUAAAGGGCACGUAGGCGGUGUUGUAAGUCAUUAGUCAAAGACUAGAGCUCAACUUUAGUAAGGCUAGUGAUACUAUAAUACUAGAGUAUCAGAGAGGAUUGCAGAAUUCCUGGUGUAGCGGUGAAAUGCGUAGAUAUCAGGAGGAAUACCGUUAGCGAAGGCGGCAAUCUAGCUGGACACUGACGCUGAGGUGCGAAAGCGUGGGUAGCAAACAGGAUUAGAUACCCCAGUAGUC